UCCCUGCUGACUUAGAUGGUAAAGACUCUGCCUACAAUGCAGGAGACCCAGGUUCAAUCCCUGGGUCGGGAA
RNAcentral lists this transfer RNA (72 nucleotides) under Bos taurus (domestic cattle). It matches the Rfam family "tRNA". From Rfam's summary of the family: Transfer RNA (tRNA) molecules are approximately 80 nucleotides in length. Their secondary structure includes four short double-helical elements and three loops (D, anti-codon, and T loops). Lineage: Eukaryota; Metazoa; Chordata; Mammalia; Artiodactyla; Bovidae. The record is from Rfam by way of RNAcentral. RNAcentral also lists the same sequence under 5 other names.